RNAcentral lists this ribosomal RNA (447 nucleotides) under uncultured bacterium. Its description in RNAcentral is "bacterial SSU rRNA". It matches the Rfam family "Bacterial small subunit ribosomal RNA", at positions 355 to 825 of the family's 1533-position model. The record is from RNAcentral.
UGGGGAAUAUUGGACAAUGGGCGAAAGCCUGAUCCAGCCAUGCCGCGUGAGUGACGAAGGCCUUAGGGUUGUAAAACUCUUUCGUCGGGGACGAUAAUGACGGUACCCGAAGAAGAAGCUCCGGCUAACUUCGUGCCAGCAGCCGCGGUAAUACGAAGGGAGCUAGCGUUGUUCGGAAUCACUGGGCGUAAAGUGCACGUAGGCGGAUAGUUAAGUCAGGGGUGAAAUCCUGGGGCUCAACCCCAGAACUGCCUUUGAUACUGGCUGUCUCGAGGUCGAGAGAGGUUGGUGGAAUUCCUAGUGUAGAGGUGAAAUUCGUAGAUAUUAGGAAGAACACCAGUGGCGAAGGCGGCCAACUGGCUCGAUACUGACGCUGAGGUGCGAAAGCGUGGGGAGCAAACAGGAUUAGAUACCCGUGUAGUCCCUGAGCGGGCUGGCAAGGCGCAU